GCUGGCGGCAUGCCUAACACAUGCAAGUCGAACGAAGGCUUCGGCCUUAGUGGCGCACGGGUGCGUAACGCGUGGGAAUCUGCCCAAAGGUAGGGAAUAACUCAGGGAAACUUGUGCUAAUACCCUAUAAUGUCUUCGGACCAAAGAUUUAUCGCCAUUAGAUGGGCCCGCGUCGGAUUAGGUAGUUGGUGGGGUAACGGCCCACCAAGCCGACGAUCCGUAGCUGGUUUGAGAGAAUGACCAGCCACACUGGGACUGAGACACGGCCCAGACUCCUACGGGAGGCAGCAGUGGGGAAUCUUGGACAAUGGGCGCAAGCCUGAUCCAGCCAUGCCGCGUGAGUGACGAAGGCCUUAGGGUUGUAAAGCUCUUUUGCCGGGGACGAUAAUGACGGUACCCGGAGAAUAAGUCCCGGCUAACUUCGUGCCAGCAGCCGCGGUAAUACGAAGGGGACUAGCGUUGUUCGGAAUUACUGGGCGUAAAGCGCACGUAGGCGGAAUUGUCAGUCAGGGGUGAAAUCCCGGGGCUCAACCUCGGAACUGCCCUUGAUACAGCAAUUCUCGAGUCCGGAAGAGGUGAGUGGAAUUCCUAGUGUAGAGGUGAAAUUCGUAGAUAUUANGAAGAACACCAGUGGCGAAGGCGGCUCACUGGUCCGGUACUGACG
Molecule: ribosomal RNA, 664 nt
Filed under: uncultured bacterium
Lineage: Bacteria
Description: bacterial SSU rRNA
Rfam family: Bacterial small subunit ribosomal RNA
Source: RNAcentral